UACGUAGGUGGCAAGCGUUGUCCGGAAUUACUGGGCGUAAAGGGCGUGUAGGCGGCCUUUUAAGUCAGACGUGAAAACCCUGGGCUUAACCCAGGAACUGCGUUUGAAACUGGAAGGCUUGAGGACCGGAGAGGGUAGUGGAAUUCCCAGUGUAGCGGUGAAAUGCGUAGAUAUUGGGAGGAACACCAGUGGCGAAGGCGACUACCUGGCUUGUUCUUGACGCUGAGGCGCGAAAGCUAGGGGAGCAAACGGG
Molecule: ribosomal RNA, 253 nt
Filed under: uncultured bacterium
Lineage: Bacteria
Description: partial 16S ribosomal RNA
Rfam family: Bacterial small subunit ribosomal RNA
Source: RNAcentral